RNAcentral lists this long non-coding RNA (297 nucleotides) under Mustela putorius furo (domestic ferret). RNAcentral's name for it is "lncRNA (ENSMPUG00000031347.1)". Lineage: Eukaryota; Metazoa; Chordata; Mammalia; Carnivora; Mustelidae. The record is from RNAcentral.
GGACAAAACAAAGGCUUAGAGGUGACUUCCCCAAGAUCACACAAACAGGGAGUGGCUGAGGCAGAAUUCCAACCUGUGCUCGUAUCCAUGGUAACACACUCCCUGCCCCCAACACAGCCUGUGCCCUGGAGGAAUGGACAGAUCAGUGGGGAAGCCUUAGGGACUGGCACUAAGGACUCCAUCCGAGGACACUGGGAUCAACACCCGAGCCGAAGGCUGACACCUAACCGACUGAGCCACCCAGGCAUCCCCUUGAAGUGCAUUUUAAACAAGCUUCCAUGUCCAACACCAGAAUAA